UUGGAGGGCAAGUCUGGUGCCAGCAGCCGCGGUAAUUCCAGCUCCAAUAGCGUAUAUUAAAGUUGUUGCAGUUAAAAAGCUCGUAGUUGAAUUUCGGGAUCAAUUUAUUGGUCGUGCUAUUGUACGUACUGGUAUUAUUGAUUCCUACCUUCUGACGAACCAUGAUGUCAUUAAUUUGGUGUCAUGGGGAAUCAGGACUGUUACUUUGAAAAAAUUAGAGUGUUUAAAGCAGGCUUUAGCUUGAAUACAUUAGCAUGGAAUAACGAAAUAGGACGUUUGAUUCUAUUUUGUUGGUUUCUAGGAUCGACGUAAUGAUUAAUAGGGAUAGUUGGGGGCAUUAGUAUUCAAUUGUCAGAGGUGAAAUUCUUGGAUUUAUUGAAGACUAACUACUGCGAAAGCAUUUGCCAAGGAUGUUUUCAUUAAUCAAGAACGAAAGUUAGGGGAUCGAAGACGAUCAGAUACCGUCGUAGUCUUAACCAUAAACUAUGCCGACUAGGGAUCGGAUGAUGUUAUUUUUAAUGACUCAUUCGGCGCCUUACGGGAAAC
This 546-nucleotide ribosomal RNA is filed under the name uncultured Glomus. RNAcentral's name for it is "SSU rRNA". It matches the Rfam family "Eukaryotic small subunit ribosomal RNA", at positions 548 to 1098 of the family's 1831-position model. Lineage: Eukaryota; Fungi; Glomeromycota; Glomeromycetes; Glomerales; Glomeraceae. The record is from RNAcentral.